This 450-nucleotide ribosomal RNA is filed under the name uncultured bacterium. RNAcentral's name for it is "bacterial SSU rRNA". It matches the Rfam family "Bacterial small subunit ribosomal RNA", at positions 355 to 825 of the family's 1533-position model. The record is from RNAcentral.
UCAAGAAACUUCCACAAUGGGCGAAAGCCUGAUGGAGCGACGUCGCGUGAUGGACGAAGUGCUUCGGCACGUAAACAUCUUUUAUGUGGGAUGAAAUUAUUGACAGUACCACAUGAAUAAGGGGCUCCUAACUCUGUGCCAGCAGGAGCGGUAAUACAGAGGGUGCAAGCGUUAAUCGGACUUACUGGGCGUAAAGGGUGCGUAGGCGGAAGGAUAAGUUAGUUGUGAAAGGCCUGGGCUUAACCUAGGAACUGCAAUUAAGACUGUCCAUCUAGAGUUGAGUAGAGGGGAGCGGAAUUUCCGGUGUAGCGGUGAAAUGCGUAGAUAUCGGAAGGAACAUCAGUUGCGAAGGCGGCUCUCUGGACUCAAACUGACGCUGAGGCACGAAAGCGUGGGUAGCGAACAGGAUUAGAUACCCCCGUAGUCCCUGAGCGGGCUGGCAAGGCGCAU